Molecule: ribosomal RNA, 200 nt
Filed under: uncultured bacterium
Lineage: Bacteria
Description: partial 16S ribosomal RNA
Rfam family: Bacterial small subunit ribosomal RNA
Source: RNAcentral
GAUGAACGCUAGCGGCAGGCCUAAUACAUGCAAGUCGAGGGGCAGCGGGGUAGCAAUACUGCCGGCGACCGGCGCACGGGUGCGUAACACGUAUGCAACCUACCUUAAACUGGGGGAUAGCCCGGGGAAACUCGGAUUAAUACCCCAUAACACAGUGUUAUCACAUGAUGAUAUUGUUAAAGAUUUAUCGGUUUAAGAUG